CAUAGUUUUCAAAAUAGGUAAAAAUGCCCCAAAAAAAAUUGCCAUUUAAGGGCAAUAACUCUUAUAUAGGCAGUCAACCACCAAUAUUGGCAAUAUUGACUUAUUUGUAGAUUUUGUCUCUAUGAAAAUAUUUGCUUAAAAUUUCUGUUAUCUUUCUUUAGUUUUUAUAUAAAAGAUAAAGGGGUCCUUGGUGGCCCACUGAGGUUGUGAGUUCAAACCUCUCACAUGGCAGGUGUGCUCGUCUAAAAACCCCUCACAUGGCAGGUGUGCUCGUCUAAAACCCCCUCACAUGGCAGGUGUGCUCGUCUAAAAAACCCUCACAUGGCAGGUGUGCUCGUCUAAAAAACCCUCACAUGGCAGGUGUGCUUGUCUAAAAACCCCUCACAUGGCAGGUGUGCUCGUCUAAAACCCCCUCACAUGGCAGGUGUGCUCGUCUAAAACCCCCUCACAUGGCAGGUGUGCUCAUCUAAAACCCCCUCACAUGGCAGGUGUGCUCGUCUAAAACCCCCUCACAUGGCAGGUGUGCUCGUCUAAAACCCCCUCACAUGGCAGGUGUGCUCGUCUAAAAACCCCUCACAUGGCAGGUGUGCUUGUCUAAAACCCCCUCACAUGGCAGGUGUGCUCGUCUAAAACCCCCUCACAUGGCAGGUGUGCUAGUCUAAAAAACCCUCACAUGGCAGGUGUGCUUGUCUAAAACCCCCUCACAUGGCAGGUGUGCUUGUCUAAAACCCCCUCACAUGGCAGGUGUGCUUGUCUAAGGAUUGCCAGUUUUCCUGCCAAAAGGUUCUCUGCAGCACUCUGGCUUCCUGCAGCACUCUGGCUUCCUGCAGCACUCUAGCUUCCUGCAGCACUCUGGCUUCCUGCAGCACUCUGGCUUCCUGCAGCACUCUGGCUUCCUGCACCAUAAAAACUGACUGCCAGGAAAUAGCCAAUAGUGAUGAAAAGGCCAAUAAACACCUAACAAUCAAUUAAAACGAUAAAAGGCAAAACAAAAAAAAUUGGUAAAAAUCCUCAUUCAAGGGCAUAAUUCCUAUAAAAAAUUGACUGAUGAUUUCAGUCUUAUCUGUAAAUUUUGUCUGGCUGAUCAUUUUUGCUGUUUAAAUUUCUAACUAUAUUUUAUUCCACCCUUUCCCCCACAUUUUGACCUUCUACAUUCCUUGUUAGUACGUAAUGUUGACAUACAGUAACCUGUGUGAUAAUUCCAUACUUUGACAGGUUAUGCUCCACCACCACCACCCACCUCUCCCUAUGACCCCACAUUUUGACCUUCUACAUUCCAUGUGAGUACAUAAUGUUGACAUACAGUAACCUGUGUGAUAAUUCCAUACAUUGACAUACAGUAACCUGUGUGAUAAUUCCAUACAUUGACAUACAGUAACCUGUGUGAUAAUUCCAUACUUUGACAGGUUAUACAAUCCCCCUCCCCCUCUGACC
This is a long non-coding RNA of Mytilus californianus (California mussel), 1434 nucleotides long. RefSeq lists it as uncharacterized. The record is from RefSeq and is a predicted model, not a curated record. The transcript is spliced from 3 exons. Lineage: Eukaryota; Metazoa; Mollusca; Bivalvia; Mytilida; Mytilidae.